AAAAACAGGGUCUCCAGGACCUCCAGGACCUGCAGGACUACCAACCCUGUACCUGUGGAGGAACACAGCAGAGGAAUGGGCGGCCUUCCAGCAAACCAACUUCUACCAGUUGCUGCGUGCUGGUUGGCCUAGUAAAGAAGGCCCUGCAGGACCACCUGGAGAGAUGGGCAAACUGGGAUUACAGG
Molecule: long non-coding RNA, 185 nt
Organism: Centropristis striata (black sea bass)
Lineage: Eukaryota; Metazoa; Chordata; Actinopteri; Perciformes; Serranidae
Exons: 3
Source: RefSeq, a predicted model, not a curated record